Molecule: transfer RNA, 71 nt
Filed under: Pectobacterium atrosepticum
Lineage: Bacteria; Pseudomonadati; Pseudomonadota; Gammaproteobacteria; Enterobacterales; Pectobacteriaceae
Also listed under: 1 other name
Description: tRNA-Thr
Rfam family: tRNA
About the family: Transfer RNA (tRNA) molecules are approximately 80 nucleotides in length. Their secondary structure includes four short double-helical elements and three loops (D, anti-codon, and T loops).
Source: RNAcentral
GCCCGCAUAGUUAAAUGGUAUAACGCGAAUCUUGUAAAUUCGAGUCUUUGGUUCGAUUCCAGAUGUAGGUA